Molecule: long non-coding RNA, 306 nt
Filed under: Medicago truncatula (barrel medic)
Lineage: Eukaryota; Viridiplantae; Streptophyta; Magnoliopsida; Fabales; Fabaceae
Description: long non-coding RNA (MTRU_LNC004948)
Source: RNAcentral
AUGGAGUUUGCAUUGCAUGGUCAGUUGUAUGUAGAUAUACACAAGUAGGUCCAUUGCAUAUGCAUAAAACAGCGGAGAGGACUCAUGUCCUGGAGUACUAGUUGCUCAACAGCGGUGAGGGCUUCGGUCCUGAUGAAUGCUUUAACCAUUCAAAAGCGGUGAGGGCUUCGGUCCUGUUUGGUACCACAUGCAUAUUUGCAUCCAUUGAGAAGUCUAAGGUGUUGUCUUAGCAGUGUUGUCAUGUCAUUUGCAUGAGUCUUAGUUGUUGAUUGUGGUUGUUACUUGAUGAUGAUGAUGUUGUUGGUG